AGGACUAACGCUGGCGGCGUGCCUAACACAUGCAAGUCGAACGAGAGUAGCAAUACUCUAGUGGCAGACGGGUGAGUAACACGUGGUCAACCUUCCCUAGCGUGGGGGAUAACUAGCCGAAAGGUUAGCUAAUACCGCAUGACAUCGUCGAGUGGCAUCAUUUGACGAUCAAAGGAGCAAUCCGCGCAAGGACGGGACCGCGUCCCAUUAGCUAGUUGGUGAGGUAACGGCCCACCAAGGCUUCGAUGGGUGGCUGGUUUGAGAGAGCGACCAGCCACACUGGGACUGAGACACGGCCCAGACUCCUACGGGAGGCAGCAGUGAGGAAUUUUCCGCAAUGGGCGAAAGCCUGACGGAGCGACGUCGCGUGUGGGAAGAAGGCCUUCGGGUCGUAAACCACUGUCGAAGGGGAAGAUAUUGACGGUACCCUUGGAGGAAGCCCCGGCUAACGUACGCGCCAGCAGCCGC
This 468-nucleotide ribosomal RNA is filed under the name uncultured bacterium. Its description in RNAcentral is "SSU rRNA". It matches the Rfam family "Bacterial small subunit ribosomal RNA", at positions 26 to 518 of the family's 1533-position model. The record is from RNAcentral.